AGUUUUGCACGUAACUAUAUAUGGCAAUCAAGAUAUAGUCAAAUCAUAGGCGAUAUACAUGAUACUAAUAAUAUUAUUUCAAUUUCCUUUACAACUCAUUUUUGGUUGUGUACAUGAAUCAUCUGACGUAUGCUUGACGUUUAACAACUAUUGAUAGCCUUUCUAAUUUAAUCACUUACCAAAUGGUGUGGAGAACUGAAAUCCCUCUCAUUAAAUCUCUAAUACUACCAUUUAUAUAAGAUUAUGAUCUAAAUAUUCUCUUUAUAAUGUUAUUGUUGAAGCAAUCACUUCUGAAUUUUUUG
Molecule: unclassified non-coding RNA, 302 nt
Filed under: Hevea brasiliensis (rubber tree)
Lineage: Eukaryota; Viridiplantae; Streptophyta; Magnoliopsida; Malpighiales; Euphorbiaceae
Source: RNAcentral